UGGGGAAUAUUGCACAAUGGGCGCAAGCCUGAUGCAGCCAUGCCGCGUGUGUGAAGAAGGCCUUCGGGUUGUAAAGCACUUUCAGCGAGGAGGAAGGUGGUGAGCUUAAUACGCUCAUCAAUUGACGUUACUCGCAGAAGAAGCACCGGCUAACUCCGUGCCAGCAGCCGCGGUAAUACGGAGGGUGCAAGCGUUAAUCGGAAUUACUGGGCGUAAAGCGCACGCAGGCGGUUUGUUAAGUCAGAUGUGAAAUCCCCGGGCUCAACCUGGGAACUGCAUUUGAAACUGGCAAGCUAGAGUCUCGUAGAGGGGGGUAGAAUUCCAGGUGUAGCGGUGAAAUGCGUAGAGAUCUGGAGGAAUACCGGUGGCGAAGGCGGCCCCCUGGACGAAGACUGACGCUCAGGUGCGAAAGCGUGGGGCAGCAAACAGGAUUAGAUACCCUGGUAGUCCACGCUGUAAAACGAUGUCGAUUUUGGAGGUUGUGCCCUUGAGGCGUGGNUUCCGGAGCUAACGCGUUAAAUCGACCGCCUGGGGAGUACGGCCNCAAGGUUAAAACUUAAAGGAAUUGC
RNAcentral lists this ribosomal RNA (569 nucleotides) under uncultured bacterium. RNAcentral's name for it is "partial 16S ribosomal RNA". It matches the Rfam family "Bacterial small subunit ribosomal RNA", at positions 355 to 913 of the family's 1533-position model. The record is from RNAcentral.